Rosa rugosa (rugosa rose) is the source of this 592-nucleotide long non-coding RNA. RefSeq lists it as uncharacterized. The transcript is spliced from 3 exons. The record is from RefSeq and is a predicted model, not a curated record. Lineage: Eukaryota; Viridiplantae; Streptophyta; Magnoliopsida; Rosales; Rosaceae.
UCUCUCCCUCUUCUCUGCAACUCCGGCCACCUCUUGAUUCCGGCCACCUGGGAACGAACAAGUGCCACCGCUGGACUCCUCUACUCCUACCCAACCUCCCCACGGCGAUAACUCACGGCGGUUUGGACGGAAAACGAAGAAUCAAGCCCGGAAACUUUAAUGUAGCAGUUUGAGUCAACGCCGAUUUCUCUCGAUUCCGACCAUCUCCGGCCACCAAACCGGCGUCGAAGGUUCGGUUUUUGCCAAGGAUCAUUUUCCCCCUAGCCUUGAGCCACGAUUUGCAGUGUAGAGGAAGAAUCGACGAUUGGAAGAUUACGGUCACUAUUCACAGUUUGAGUUCAAGCUUCUCCUUAAUUGUUGAGGAUGAUGUUGCGAGCUACGGCUAGAUGAAGGAACUCGUUUACAUGGUCGCCCAAUAGUACUUUUGCAGGCGAAUUAGUUGAGGUCGGGCAUACACGAAAUUGAGGCAUAGUCAACAACAUGGCUUCCGCAUCUGCCUUUGAAUUAGGUUUUCCUCAUAUACCUUUCUGUGAGAAUUGCUCUGAUUACCUAUGUGAUUUAUGUUAUUCAAGUUGAGAUGUGUGUUUGUGAA